UCUGAAAUGAAGACUGUGAAUGAGAAAUUAACAGUGGAAAACCAAGAGCUGCGUGCUCGAAUUGCAGAAGCAUGUGAGAAGUUGUCAGCCAGGGAGCAGGAAGCAAAAAGUCGUGAGAAUAAAUUGCAACUUCAGCUCGACCGGGCAUGGCGUUUGAACAAUUCUUUGACGGCACAGAUGGACGGAAGAAAAACGGAGAUGGGGGAACAACAGGAAAGGAUUAAGGCAAUACAGGAAGAGAAAGCAAGUGUCUCUGAGAGGUUCCAACAACUGCAGAUAGAUCAUGAGGCUGAAUUGAAGGAAAGGGACAAAACUCUGUGUGAACUAAAUGAGUUGGUGAAUAUGACUGGACAAGAAACCAUUAGCCUCAAUGAGAAAGUAAGAAUCUUAGAAGAUGACAAAUGGUUAUUUCAGGAAAAGCUGGAAAAUGCCCAAGAGAUGGCUGACAAAGUAAAGAAUGAGAAUGAGUGUAUGGUGACUGUACUCCUCAAAAAUUCAGAGAGAGUUAAGGAGUUGACUCAAAUGGUGAGUGUAGUACAGGCACACAAUUCCCAUCUAAUGACACAGCUAACAGAGAAUAAAGAGGAAAAAGGCAAGAGACGCUUAGUGAGCUGUGCGUCUGGAGAAGAUCAGGUACAGCAUGAGCUGGAACAUAAAAAGGAACUCUUUCAAUCUCAGAUGAAUGAGAAAGAAGGGGAAUCGGGGAAAAUAAUUGAGCAACAUAGGGAAAAGCUAGUGGAACUCCAGGAUCAGCCGUGCCAACAAAAGCAGCAUCUCCAGCAGACUGCACAGGAGCUCGAGCAGCUUUGCAAGGAUGCUCGGCAGAGCUCUCUCAUGGACAUGGAGUUGGCAGACUAUGAGCGCCUUGUAAAAGAGCUUAACAUCCAGAUAUCAGAGAAAGACACUCAGAUUGAGGAUCUGAAAAAGCAGCUACUGACCCAGAAAAAUAAAGUUCUGGAGGGCGAGGCCCAGUAUUUAUUUGAGAAUGGCCUGACUAAACUGGUCCACAGUGGUUUUACACCUCAUAGGGAAGAGGUCCAUUUGGCAGGGACUAAUGCGUUGUCCCACGCUCCAGAUGUGGGGAUAAGUUGUGUGGUGUUAUUGCUUGCCUGCCUAACUAUUUUAUCUCCUCUCCGGUCUCCUCCCCUGUCCCUCUUAGACUGCUUUUCCAGGCCCACUGGGAUUGCUGAGGGGAAAAUAGGUUGUGUGACUGGUGAGCUGGAUGAAUGGUGAGCAUGUGAGUGAAUAGGUGGAUAGGUGAAUAGGUGAAUAGGUGAAUAGGUGAAUAGGUGAAUAGGUGAAUAGGUGAAUAGGUGACUAGGUGAGCUGGAUGAAUGGGGAGCAUGUGAGUGAAUGGGUGAAUAGGUGAAUAGGAAGGUUUAGGUAAAUGGGGGUUUUGUAUGGUGCAGAAUCCCACUUAGGUGGGCUUCUGUCUUAAGGGGGGGGAUGUUACGACCCUGGCGGGUCCAGGCCCCGCCCCAUGAGAUUUGCAUGCCUGUUUUCUAUCUGUCGUUAUAACAGGUAAUUGGAUCCAGGUGUAUGGGUGAUUGGCUGGGCUACAAAAGCCCUGCUCAGAUGGAAGUCGGGAGAGCGUUGGAUUGGUCGUUGGAUUUUGGUUAUCGUUGGAUUUGGAUAGUGAAUUGGAUUUGGGAUUGUUGUUGUCGUUGUCUUUGGAUUAUCGUCGUUUGUUUAUAUUACCAGUUAAUUGACUUUACAGUACAUCUUUUGUUUCUCUUCACAACACUGAUCUUCACCACACGUUUGCUAUAAUUAUUAGAUAAUUAUAUAAACUUGUAAAAUCAUUAAUAAAUAUAUUAUUAUUACUAUAAAUAUCCU
Molecule: long non-coding RNA, 1836 nt
Organism: Clupea harengus (Atlantic herring)
Lineage: Eukaryota; Metazoa; Chordata; Actinopteri; Clupeiformes; Clupeidae
Source: Ensembl